Molecule: long non-coding RNA, 1017 nt
Filed under: Chrysemys picta bellii (western painted turtle)
Lineage: Eukaryota; Metazoa; Chordata; Testudines; Emydidae
Description: lncRNA (ENSCPBG00000015033.1)
Source: RNAcentral
CUGGAGUAGAGGAGAAAGAGGGCUGGACUGCACUCUCAAUCAGCCCUCUGGAACUCAGCAUCAGAAUCUAGUAGUCCACCCCACCUCUGGGAUAAUAGCCUUCUCUUGCUGCCAUCUACUGCAGUUAGUCCUAUAGCUCAAAUGGUAGCAGCCAGUGCUGUGGAGCUGGAGGUUCAAGGUUGUAUGAUUUUCUGUGAGGCAUAGCAGGCCUUUACACAACUUAAUGAGUGUUUGUUACUGAAGUUCUUGAAAUGUUUCACUUCCUCUCUGUUUUGUGAUUAGUGUUAAAGAGAGAAUUGGAAAAUGUUAUUCAGUACAGAAAGUUGGUCAAGUCCAAGACUAUCAAGGCAACAACCCAAGAGUCUCAGUUCUACAAGGAACUAAAGGAUCUAAUUCAGAAGUAUGAAGGACACCUUUCCCAAUUGUCAAAAAGAUGCGAUGAAAUGAAGAAGCUCUACAGUGACACACUGGUAAAAUUUGGGGAAUCACCAGAUCAAGACUCUCAAGAGCUAUUUGGCUGGAUUUCUGCAUUUAUUAAGGAAUUCAGGAAGGUCUCUGCAGACAUUGUCAUAAAGUCACCAAUAUAAUGUUAAAGGAAAAGAACUUUUUCUUAAAUUUUGUGUCAUGGAACUUUGUUGCCUGGGGGCUUUUGGGGGUACUUAGAUGGCAUAUAGAAAUUGUACUUGCUCUCUGAGCAGGGGUGAAUUUUGCCCUGUGUGGUAUAGUUAAAGUAGAUACUAUACACUUACAAGGUUUUAAAAUUUGCCCUUCAAAAUCCCAGAUUAUCUAUGUGCAUCUUCCUGGUUUUGUUUCUAACUUUCUUACCAAUGCAUCUAUUUUGGGGGCCAAAAAUAUUUUAUCCACUGAAAUGUCUGUAUACUGUGAGGGGAGAAAAUCUCAGCAUAUUAUAAAUUCUCUUUUUAAUACUUUUCUUUGAUACCCAGUCUUUUGAGUGAAUUUUAUGGAGCCCUCCUGAGGAAAGAAUAACUGUGUGGUGUUCUAAUUUUUUAUUCUUCU